This 404-nucleotide unclassified non-coding RNA is filed under the name soil metagenome. RNAcentral's name for it is "partial contains 5.8S ribosomal RNA, internal transcribed spacer 2, and large subunit ribosomal RNA". The stretch from base 1 to 122 matches the Rfam family "5.8S ribosomal RNA", at positions 35 to 154 of the family's 154-position model. The record is from RNAcentral.
GAUGAAGAACGUAGCAAAAUGCGAUACUUGGUGUGAAUUGCAGAAUCCCGUGAACCAUCGAGUUUUUGAACGCAAGUUGCGCCCGAAGCCUUUUGGCCGAGGGCACGUCUGCCUGGGCGUCACGCAUCGCGUCGCCCCCCACAAUUCUCCGUAAAGGGAACAUGUGUUUUGGGGGCGGAUAUUGGUCUCCCGUGCUCAUGGCGUGGUUGGCCGAAAUAGGAGUCCUUUCGAUGGACGCACGAACUAGUGGUGGUCGUAAAAACCCUCGUCUUUUGUUUCGUGCUGUUAGUCGCAAGGGAAACUCUAAGAAAACCCCAACGUGUCGUCUUUUGACGGCGCUUCGACCGCGACCCCAGGUCAGGCGGGACUACCCGCUGAGUUUAAGCAUAUCAAUAAGCGGAGGA